CAGUCAAGGGAAGCCGGAGCCUGGAGAAGACGAGCCGCGCGGUCGGAGGCGCGGUGCGGGACCAGGACAGUGGGGCCUGGCCGUGCGCUUCGCCCUGGCGGUCCAGGAGCUGUCUCGCCCUCCGAAGAGUUACGGGAGGUGGCACUGCUUUUGCUCUCUGCCCUUUCGACACGUGAAGGAGAGAAUCAUUCGGAACCCAGGACUCAGACCGGUGGCCGAGGGCCUGUGCAGCCGCGAGCACGACAGCGCAGCGCUGGCCGCGUCCGCGCGCGUUCCUCCGACAAGGGCAGAGCAGUCGACCAGCGCGCCCCAGUCUCGAUCGGGUUCAAGGCGACUCUUGAGGACGAAGGCGGCUGGUCCCAGAGCACCUCGGAGAAAGCGGACGCCUGUCUUGGCCUUUGGAAGACGCUCAAGGACCACGUGGCCGGGUCCACGGUCUCUGCCCUGCGCCUCGAGGGCGAGGCAGCCCAGGUCUUGCCCUUCUUGCCGGCCACUUCGCCCCCAGCCGACGCCUGGAGCUUGAGGUGACUGAGCGCUCUCAGGUCUGUGUGCUUUUGAAUGUUGAAGAUCAGAGCUCCCCUCCCCCGCCCUCCCGGAAGGGAUGUACACACUCUGGUUACACGUGCACGUGUGCUCCUGUGCACACGCCUGCACGGCCUCUGGAGGACGGGAGCCGGGCGGGCCCUUCUCACACCGUUGCUUGGGCUCGGCUCUGUGCGCUGCCUCCGUGGCUCUGCCCUCCCGCCGGAGACGGGGCCUGUAGGGAGCCGGGCUGGCCCAGGCGUCUCCCCAGGGAGCCGGUCUCGACCGUCUUCUGGGCUCCCUCCUGCCGCAGGUGAAGUGAAGCCGCCUUUGCGAGGAGGCAGCUGUCACGGGUCCGAGCUGGGAGGACCCGUAACUCCCUGGAAUUUCCCAGCAUCUGUGGGGUCGGGCAGCGCUCAGGGGCUCAGCAAGUGAUGGGGUCUCAACCCGGCCCUCCCCCGAGAGCCAGCCUCACUGUGGCCUGUCGGGCACACUUGGCUGCUUCCAGCCUCCUGGGGAGUCAGUGCAGCCGUGAGGGUCAGACCCGGAGUGGCAUCCGUUCCCCUCCCCCGCUCAUGCCAUGGCCAGGGGCAGGCCUGCCUCCCGGGGCUGGGCAGAGAGGACCUGGGAUCCCUCUGCCAUCGGGGCCUCUCAUGUUGGUAGGUCCAGCUUGCCCACCAGACUCCACAGACGCCACCCCGGGGCUUUUCUGUCUGCAUGCAGGGCCUGUGCCAGCUGGUGCCCUAGGGUGGGGUGGGACACUCUGGGGGCGGGAGGGCCUCCAAGGACUUCAGAGACGGAGGAGAGAGGGGGACACGAGAGGGGAAUAGCGGAGGGAAAGAACAGAGCAGAGGCAGAGAGAGCAGGGCCGGGAGAAGGGAGACGGCAGAGCCACCAGGACCCGCGCGCAGCUGUCCCUGGGGAGACGGCCUCG
This 1456-nucleotide long non-coding RNA is filed under the name Sus scrofa (pig). RNAcentral's name for it is "lncRNA (ENSSSCG00015029033.1)". The record is from RNAcentral. Lineage: Eukaryota; Metazoa; Chordata; Mammalia; Artiodactyla; Suidae.